RNAcentral lists this ribosomal RNA (2902 nucleotides) under Escherichia coli. RNAcentral's name for it is "bacterial LSU rRNA". It matches the Rfam family "Bacterial large subunit ribosomal RNA". Lineage: Bacteria; Pseudomonadati; Pseudomonadota; Gammaproteobacteria; Enterobacterales; Enterobacteriaceae. The record is from RNAcentral.
UUAAGCGACUAAGCGUACACGGUGGAUGCCCUGGCAGUCAGAGGCGAUGAAGGACGUGCUAAUCUGCGAUAAGCGUCGGUAAGGUGAUAUGAACCGUUAUAACCGGCGAUUUCCGAAUGGGGAAACCCAGUGUGAUUCGUCACACUAUCAUUAACUGAAUCCAUAGGUUAAUGAGGCGAACCGGGGGAACUGAAACAUCUAAGUACCCCGAGGAAAAGAAAUCAACCGAGAUUCCCCCAGUAGCGGCGAGCGAACGGGGAGCAGCCCAGAGCCUGAAUCAGUGUGUGUGUUAGUGGAAGCGUCUGGAAAGGCGUGCGAUACAGGGUGACAGCCCCGUACACAAAAAUGCACAUGCUGUGAGCUCGAUGAGUAGGGCGGGACACGUGGUAUCCUGUCUGAAUAUGGGGGGACCAUCCUCCAAGGCUAAAUACUCCUGACUGACCGAUAGUGAACCAGUACCGUGAGGGAAAGGCGAAAAGAACCCCGGCGAGGGGAGUGAAAAAGAACCUGAAACCGUGUACGUACAAGCAGUGGGAGCACGCUUAGGCGUGUGACUGCGUACCUUUUGUAUAAUGGGUCAGCGACUUAUAUUCUGUAGCAAGGUUAACCGAAUAGGGGAGCCGAAGGGAAACCGAGUCUUAACUGGGCGUUAAGUUGCAGGGUAUAGACCCGAAACCCGGUGAUCUAGCCAUGGGCAGGUUGAAGGUUGGGUAACACUAACUGGAGGACCGAACCGACUAAUGUUGAAAAAUUAGCGGAUGACUUGUGGCUGGGGGUGAAAGGCCAAUCAAACCGGGAGAUAGCUGGUUCUCCCCGAAAGCUAUUUAGGUAGCGCCUCGUGAAUUCAUCUCCGGGGGUAGAGCACUGUUUCGGCAAGGGGGUCAUCCCGACUUACCAACCCGAUGCAAACUGCGAAUACCGGAGAAUGUUAUCACGGGAGACACACGGCGGGUGCUAACGUCCGUCGUGAAGAGGGAAACAACCCAGACCGCCAGCUAAGGUCCCAAAGUCAUGGUUAAGUGGGAAACGAUGUGGGAAGGCCCAGACAGCCAGGAUGUUGGCUUAGAAGCAGCCAUCAUUUAAAGAAAGCGUAAUAGCUCACUGGUCGAGUCGGCCUGCGCGGAAGAUGUAACGGGGCUAAACCAUGCACCGAAGCUGCGGCAGCGACGCUUAUGCGUUGUUGGGUAGGGGAGCGUUCUGUAAGCCUGUGAAGGUGUACUGUGAGGUAUGCUGGAGGUAUCAGAAGUGCGAAUGCUGACAUAAGUAACGAUAAAGCGGGUGAAAAGCCCGCUCGCCGGAAGACCAAGGGUUCCUGUCCAACGUUAAUCGGGGCAGGGUGAGUCGACCCCUAAGGCGAGGCCGAAAGGCGUAGUCGAUGGGAAACAGGUUAAUAUUCCUGUACUUGGUGUUACUGCGAAGGGGGGACGGAGAAGGCUAUGUUGGCCGGGCGACGGUUGUCCCGGUUUAAGCGUGUAGGCUGGUUUUCCAGGCAAAUCCGGAAAAUCAAGGCUGAGGCGUGAUGACGAGGCACUACGGUGCUGAAGCAACAAAUGCCCUGCUUCCAGGAAAAGCCUCUAAGCAUCAGGUAACAUCAAAUCGUACCCCAAACCGACACAGGUGGUCAGGUAGAGAAUACCAAGGCGCUUGAGAGAACUCGGGUGAAGGAACUAGGCAAAAUGGUGCCGUAACUUCGGGAGAAGGCACGCUGAUAUGUAGGUGAAGUCCCUCGCGGAUGGAGCUGAAAUCAGUCGAAGAUACCAGCUGGCUGCAACUGUUUAUUAAAAACACAGCACUGUGCAAACACGAAAGUGGACGUAUACGGUGUGACGCCUGCCCGGUGCCGGAAGGUUAAUUGAUGGGGUUAGCGCAAGCGAAGCUCUUGAUCGAAGCCCCGGUAAACGGCGGCCGUAACUAUAACGGUCCUAAGGUAGCGAAAUUCCUUGUCGGGUAAGUUCCGACCUGCACGAAUGGCGUAAUGAUGGCCAGGCUGUCUCCACCCGAGACUCAGUGAAAUUGAACUCGCUGUGAAGAUGCAGUGUACCCGCGGCAAGACGGAAAGACCCCGUGAACCUUUACUAUAGCUUGACACUGAACAUUGAGCCUUGAUGUGUAGGAUAGGUGGGAGGCUUGGAAGUGUGGACGCCAGUCUGCAUGGAGCCGACCUUGAAAUACCACCCUUUAAUGUUUGAUGUUCUAACGUUGACCCGUGAUCCGGGUUGCGGACAGUGUCUGGUGGGUAGUUUGACUGGGGCGGUCUCCUCCUAAAGAGUAACGGAGGAGCACGAAGGUUGGCUAAUCCUGGUCGGACAUCAGGAGGUUAGUGCAAUGGCAUAAGCCAGCUUGACUGCGAGCGUGACGGCGCGAGCAGGUGCGAAAGCAGGUCAUAGUGAUCCGGUGGUUCUGAAUGGAAGGGCCAUCGCUCAACGGAUAAAAGGUACUCCGGGGAUAACAGGCUGAUACCGCCCAAGAGUUCAUAUCGACGGCGGUGUUUGGCACCUCGAUGUCGGCUCAUCACAUCCUGGGGCUGAAGUAGGUCCCAAGGGUAUGGCUGUUCGCCAUUUAAAGUGGUACGCGAGCUGGGUUUAGAACGUCGUGAGACAGUUCGGUCCCUAUCUGCCGUGGGCGCUGGAGAACUGAGGGGGGCUGCUCCUAGUACGAGAGGACCGGAGUGGACGCAUCACUGGUGUUCGGGUUGUCAUGCCAAUGGCACUGCCCGGUAGCUAAAUGCGGAAGAGAUAAGUGCUGAAAGCAUCUAAGCACGAAACUUGCCCCGAGAUGAGUUCUCCCUGACUCCUUGAGAGUCCUGAAGGAACGUUGAAGACGACGACGUUGAUAGGCCGGGUGUGUAAGCGCAGCGAUGCGUUGAGCUAACCGGUACUAAUGAACCGUGAGGCUUAACCUU